CCUGGCUCAGAUUGAACGCUGGCGGCAUGCCUUACACAUGCAAGUCGAACGGCAGCGCGGGGCAACCUGGCGGCGAGUGGCGAACGGGUGAGUAAUAUAUCGGAACGUACCCUGGAGUGGGGGAUAACGUAGCGAAAGUUACACUAAUACCGCAUACGAUCUAAGGAUGAAAGUGGGGGAUUCGCAAGAACCUCAUGCUCCUGGAGCGGCCGAUAUCUGAUUAGCUAGUUGGUGGGGUAAAGGCCUACCAAGGCAUCGAUCAGUAGCUGGUCUGAGAGGACGACCAGCCACACUGGAACUGAGACACGGUCCAGACUCCUACGGGAGGCAGCAGUGGGGAGUUUUGGACAAUGGGCGCAAGCCUGAUCCAGCAAUGCCGCGUGAGUGAAGAAGGCCUUCGGGUUGUAAAGCUCUUUUGUCAGGGAAGAAACGGUGAGGGCUAAUAUCCCUUGCUAAUGACGGUACCUGAAGAAUAAGCACCGGCUAACUACGUGCCAGCAGCCGCGGUAAUACGUAGGGUGCAAGCGUUAAUCGGAAUUACUGGGCGUAAAGCGUGCGCAGGCGGUUUUGUAAGUCUGUCGUGAAAUCCCCGGGCUCAA
Molecule: ribosomal RNA, 599 nt
Filed under: bacterium enrichment culture clone F61x_D36_T3_D05
Lineage: Bacteria
Description: bacterial SSU rRNA
Rfam family: Bacterial small subunit ribosomal RNA
Source: RNAcentral